RNAcentral lists this ribosomal RNA (253 nucleotides) under uncultured bacterium. RNAcentral describes it as "partial 16S ribosomal RNA". It matches the Rfam family "Bacterial small subunit ribosomal RNA", at positions 524 to 776 of the family's 1533-position model. The record is from RNAcentral.
UACGGAGGAUCCGAGCGUUAUCCGGAUUUAUUGGGUUUAAAGGGUGCGUAGGCGGUUUGAUAAGUUAGAGGUGAAAUGUCGGGGCUCAACCCCGAAACUGCCUCUAAUACUGUUGGACUAGAGAAUAGUUGCGGUAGGCGGAAUGUAUGGUGUAGCGGUGAAAUGCUUAGAGAUCAUACAGAGCACCGAUUGCGAAGGCAGCUUACCAAACUAUAUCUGACGUUGAGGCACGAAAGCGUGGGUAGCAAACAGG